Molecule: non-coding RNA, 338 nt
Organism: Pelobates cultripes (western spadefoot toad)
Lineage: Eukaryota; Metazoa; Chordata; Amphibia; Anura; Pelobatidae
Source: the annotation of a GenBank genome assembly
GUCUGACUCUAUUAUCACAUCCGGCGCGGAGCCGAAGAUCGCCCGGCCGUUCCAGGCCUCCAUGUGGUCCAGCCACCACCUUAGUUCGUCUCUGGAGUCCCUGUCCAGGGUCAACACGCUCUCGUACGAGCCCCCUGAGCGAAGAUGGGACCCUUUCAAACGUUGGAGUGCUUGAUAAUGCAGUGGGCCCGGAAAAAUUGCCUGAAUCGAUGAGGCCAACAGGCCGAUCACCCUCGCCAAUUGCCGGACGGAGAGAGAGGUGGCUCGCAGCGCCCGUCGUAUCUCCUUUUUCAUCGAUCGGAGUUUUGCCUCCGGGAGGAACAGACACUGGGUGACUG